RNAcentral lists this ribosomal RNA (252 nucleotides) under uncultured bacterium. Its description in RNAcentral is "partial 16S ribosomal RNA". It matches the Rfam family "Bacterial small subunit ribosomal RNA", at positions 524 to 776 of the family's 1533-position model. The record is from RNAcentral.
UACGUAGGGUGCAAGCGUUGUCCGGAAUUAUUGGGCGUAAAGAGCUCGUAGGCGGUCUGUCGCGUCUGCUGUGAAAACCUAGGGCUUAACUCUGGGCGUGCAGUGGGUACGGGCAGGCUAGGGUGCGGUAGGGGAGACUGAAUUCCUGGUGUAGCGGUGAAAUGCGCAGAUAUCAGGAGGAACACCGGUGGCGAAGGCGGGUCUCUGGGCCGAUACUGACGCUGAGGAGCGAAAGCGUGGGGAGCGAACAGG